GCCUCUGUGGCGCAAUUGGCUAGCGCAUGCGACUUGUUAGUGCCCGAAACAACCCGAUUAUAUUAUCCACAAAUGCUAAUCCAUCUCACAGCUAUGAAACAUCGUUUGAAAUCGCAAGGUUGCGGGUUCGACCCCCGCCAGAGGUU
RNAcentral lists this transfer RNA (146 nucleotides) under Penicillium freii. It matches the Rfam family "tRNA". From Rfam's summary of the family: Transfer RNA (tRNA) molecules are approximately 80 nucleotides in length. The record is from Rfam by way of RNAcentral. Lineage: Eukaryota; Fungi; Ascomycota; Eurotiomycetes; Eurotiales; Aspergillaceae.